Molecule: ribosomal RNA, 468 nt
Filed under: uncultured bacterium
Lineage: Bacteria
Description: partial 16S ribosomal RNA
Rfam family: Bacterial small subunit ribosomal RNA
Source: RNAcentral
GACGAACGUUGGCGGCGUGCUUAACACAUGCAAGUCGAACGGUAAGGCCCUGCUUUUGUGGGGUGCUCGGGUGGCGAACGGGUGAGUAACGCGUGAGGAACCUGCCCUUGACUUUGGGAUAACUUCAGGAAACUGGGGCUAAUACCGGAUAGGAGCUCCUGGUGCUUUGUGGGGGUGGGAAAGUUUCGGCGGUUGGGGAUGGACUCGCGGCGUAUCAGCUCGUUGGUGGGGUAGUGGCGUAGCAGGGCUUUGACGGGUAGCCGGCCUGAGCGGGUGAGCGGCCACAUUGGGACUGAGAUGCGGCGCAGACUCCUACGGGAGGCAGCAGUGGGGAAUAUUGCGCAAUGGGCGGAAGCCUGAUGCAGUAACGCCGCGUGCGGGAUGACGGCCUUCGGGUUGUAAACCGCUUCCGCCUGGGACGAGGCGUGAGUGACGGUAAUUGGUAAAGAAGCACCGGCUAACUACGUG